AAGACCUUGUGCUUUUGGAGCGGCCGAUGCCUGAUUAGCUAGUUGGUAGGGUAAAGGCCUACCAAGGCUACGAUCAGUAGUUGGUCUGAGAGGACGACCAGCCACACUGGGACUGAGACACGGCCCAGACUCCUACGGGAGGCAGCAGUGGGGAAUUUUGGACAAUGGGCGAAAGCCUGAUCCAGCAAUGCCGCGUGAGUGAAGAAGGCCUUCGGGUUGUAAAGCUCUUUCAGUCGAGAAGAAAAAGUUGUGACUAAUAAUCACAAUUUAUGACGGUACCGACAGAAGAAGCACCGGCUAACUACGUGCCAGCAGCCGCGGUAAUACGUAGGGUGCAAGCGUUAAUCGGAAUUACUGGGCGUAAAGGGUGCGCAGGCGGCUCUGUAAGUCAGAUGUGAAAUCCCCGGGCUUAACCUGGGAAUU
This 423-nucleotide ribosomal RNA is filed under the name uncultured bacterium. RNAcentral describes it as "bacterial SSU rRNA". It matches the Rfam family "Bacterial small subunit ribosomal RNA", at positions 202 to 622 of the family's 1533-position model. The record is from RNAcentral.